GACGAACGCUGGCGGCGUGCUUAACACAUGCAAGUCGAACGGAAAGGCCCCUUUGGGGGUACUCGAGUGGCGAACGGGUGAGUAACACGUGAGUAACCUGCCCUUUACUUUGGGAUAACUUCAGGAAACUGGGGCUAAUACCGGAUAGGAAUCCUUGCUGCAUGGUGGGGGUUGGAAAGCUUCGGCGGUUUUGGAUGGACUGGCGGCUUAUCAGCUUGUUGGUGGGGUAGUGGCUUACCAAGGCUUUGACGGGUAGCCGGACUGAGGGGGCGACCGGCCACAUUGGGACUGAGGGACGGCCCAGACUCCUACGGGAGGCAGCAGUGGGGAAUAUUGCACAAUGGGCGGAAGCCUGAUGCAGAAACGCCGCGUGCGGGAUGACGGCCUUCGGGUGGUAAACCGCUUUCAGCAGGGGCGAAGCUUGUGGUGACGGUACCUGCAGAAGAAGCACCGGCUAACUACGUG
This 465-nucleotide ribosomal RNA is filed under the name uncultured bacterium. Its description in RNAcentral is "partial 16S ribosomal RNA". It matches the Rfam family "Bacterial small subunit ribosomal RNA", at positions 28 to 507 of the family's 1533-position model. The record is from RNAcentral.